GUUGUGAUGAUAAGUUCCCAUCCGAUGACUGUUUGGAGAAGGACCGAAAAGCUACCAUGUCUCUGCAUCCUCGGCACCAUGGUCUGAGUUCAACAGAGAUUCUGUGCCUCAUCCUGAACGUGUUCUUGCUCUUGCACCAAGGAAAAUUGUCAGCGAUCUCUGUGAUCCAGGAGCCCAGUGUCAUUGUGUCUGAAAUAGAAAAGAACAUCACGCUGAACUGCCUGUUCACACACACACCUGAGCAGAAGGUGACAGGCCCAAUCUUGUACUGGUACUAUGGAUCCGAUGAACUUCUGUACCCUCACCCUAUACCGCAGUACAAGAAUCGGGUGAUAGUUCUAAAUCCAGACAAAGACUCCAGCAACAGGUCCAUACUUCUACUUAAUGUGCAGUGGGAAGACAACAGGAAGUUCCACUGCAUGCUGUCAUAUGAAAAAUCAGGGCAUGGUGCUAGGACCAGAGGGAAAGGAGUCAAACUUCUACUCCACGGGCCUAUGAUGUUCAAUGUUUCCUCUGAGUCAGAGAAUGAUCUGCUCUGCAACAUCACAGUAUCCUCUAACAGUGGUUUUCAUCUGACUGUGCUCUGCAAUGGGGUGGAGGUGGCCAAAAGUCAGAGCGAAAUCCGUGACAAAUUUACAGUGCUGUCAGCUCUUGUUCAUGAGCACAUGGAGUGCGAAUGCUGCCUGAACCUGGACUCCACCGUGGUCUUGUCUCGGUCUUACAUCCGGAAGUCUAAAGAGGACCAGAGGGCAGAUCUCCCAGAACCAGUGUUCCUCUAUGCUGCCAUCCUCUCAAUCCCCUUCAGCAUCACUCUCAUUAUGGUCAUAGUUUUCCCCAUUUUCGGGAAUAGAAAAAGCAAACAAAGCAAAAGAAAACCUUAAAAGUUUAAAAUGUAUCCCUCUGCAGGUCGAUUGACGUAGCUGUGGGUUUAUAGUGUCCUGGAUGGUUACGUGAUGUAACUGUGAAACAAUGUAUAGAGGGCUGUCAUUUAGCAGGAUCAUCUGUGCAUUUAACAAAAAGUUAAGGCUGAACGAAUACUUUCUCUCCCUGUCUCAUCAUUUCUUUCAGUGCAGGAAUAUAGCUG
This 1084-nucleotide long non-coding RNA is filed under the name Scleropages formosus (Asian bonytongue). RNAcentral describes it as "lncRNA (ENSSFOG00015031591.1)". The record is from RNAcentral. Lineage: Eukaryota; Metazoa; Chordata; Actinopteri; Osteoglossiformes; Osteoglossidae.